This 105-nucleotide microRNA precursor is filed under the name Poecilia formosa (Amazon molly). RNAcentral describes it as "microRNA 222 (ENSPFOG00000021261.1)". The stretch from base 14 to 95 matches the Rfam family "mir-221 microRNA precursor family". Lineage: Eukaryota; Metazoa; Chordata; Actinopteri; Cyprinodontiformes; Poeciliidae. The record is from RNAcentral.
GAGCCAGCGGGUGCCCAGCGUUUGCUCAGUAGUCAGUGUAGAUCCUGUGGGGCUGGCAGCAGCUACAUCUGGCUACUGGGUCUCUGCUGACGACCAAUCCGGUCC